This 253-nucleotide ribosomal RNA is filed under the name uncultured bacterium. RNAcentral's name for it is "partial 16S ribosomal RNA". It matches the Rfam family "Bacterial small subunit ribosomal RNA", at positions 524 to 776 of the family's 1533-position model. The record is from RNAcentral.
UACGAAGGGGGCUAGCGUUGCUCGGAAUUACUGGGCGUAAAGGGCGCGUAGGCGGAUAGUUUAGUCAGAGGUGAAAGCCCAGGGCUCAACCUUGGAACUGCCUUUGAUACUGGCUAUCUUGAGUUCGGGAGAGGUGAGUGGAAUGCCGAGUGUAGAGGUGAAAUUCGCAGAUAUUCGGCGGAACACCAGUGGCGAAGGCGACUCACUGGCCCGAUACUGACGCUGAGGCGCGAAAGCGUGGGGAGCAAACAGG